UUGGAGGGCAAGUCUGGUGCCAGCAGCCGCGGUAAUUCCAGCUCCAAUAGCGUAUAUUAAAGUUGUUGCAGUUAAAAAGCUCGUAGUUGAAUUUCGGGAUCAGAGUGUCGGUCGUGCCUCGGUACGCACUGGUAUUAUUGGUUCCUACCUUCUGAAGAACCGCGAUGUCAUUAAUUUGGUGUCGUGGGGAAUCAGGACUGUUACUUUGAAAAAAUUAGAGUGUUUAAAGCAGGCUUACGCUUGAAUACAUUAGCAUGGAAUAAUGAAAUAGGACGUUUGAUUCUAUUUUGUUGGUUUCUAGGAUUGACGUAAUGAUUAAUAGGGAUAGUUGGGGGCAUUAGUAUUCAAUUGUCAGAGGUGAAAUUCUUGGAUUUAUUGAAGACUAACUACUGCGAAAGCAUUUGCCAAGGAUGUUUUCAUUAAUCAAGAACGAAAGUUAGGGGAUCGAAGACGAUCAGAUACCGUCGUAGUCUUAACCAUAAACUAUGCCGACUGGGGAUCGGAUGAUGUUAAUUUUUUAAUGACUCAUUCGGCGCCUUACGGGAAAC
Molecule: ribosomal RNA, 548 nt
Filed under: uncultured Glomeromycotina
Lineage: Eukaryota; Fungi; Glomeromycota
Description: SSU rRNA
Rfam family: Eukaryotic small subunit ribosomal RNA
Source: RNAcentral